RNAcentral lists this transfer RNA (76 nucleotides) under Chloroflexota bacterium. Its description in RNAcentral is "Chloroflexi bacterium (anaerobic digester metagenome) tRNA-Asp". It matches the Rfam family "tRNA". Rfam says of the family: Transfer RNA (tRNA) molecules are approximately 80 nucleotides in length. Their secondary structure includes four short double-helical elements and three loops (D, anti-codon, and T loops). The record is from RNAcentral. Lineage: Bacteria; Bacillati; Chloroflexota.
GGAGGCGUGGUGUAGCGGUUAACAUGUUGGCCUGUCAAGCCAAAGAUCGCGGGUUCGAAUCCCGUCGCUUCCGCCA